RNAcentral lists this long non-coding RNA (32773 nucleotides) under Malus domestica (apple). Its description in RNAcentral is "long non-coding RNA (MDOM_LNC016044)". The record is from RNAcentral. Lineage: Eukaryota; Viridiplantae; Streptophyta; Magnoliopsida; Rosales; Rosaceae.
AAGGGCACUCAUCAUGUUCGGGUUCAUGCCAAUUCCACUUUGAACCAUUUGCGGUCCCGAGAGAUUUCCUUGGCUCAUACCAGGCACAGCUUGACCCAUACUAACACCACCUUGGAGGUUGCUCAUUGGUUGUGACAUCCCAAGGUUAUUGUUGCCAGAGACAUUAGAGGUACCUGAAGUGAAUGAAUUAAGACCUGGGUUCUGCGCAACCUGUGUAAGAGUGCCGGACCCUGAAGAUGUAAAUACAUUUUGAGCAGCACCAACUGAAGAUGCCAUUCCACUAGAUAUCAUAUUUGAUACAUGCAUGGCCAUAGGAUUUUGACCCAUAGUUGGGAGUCCCAUAGAAGUUCCUCCAGUUAAGGCUGCUGCGUUCAUCACACGUGCCUGAGAGAUGUUAUUGAGGAUGCUACCUACAGGACGCGAGGGAUGUGUCACACCACUCACUACAGGUUUCAAAUCUGGCACAUUAUCAUUGUUUGUGGCCAUCUCUUGAGAAGCAGAAGAUGGUGAAGAAGUCUGCAAGCUCGGGACUCCUUGGGAAGGAGGACGGACAGAUGGAAUGUGUGCAAAAGAAGGUCCCAUGGAACUUACGGUACUUGGCUCCUAAACAAAUCAUAUCAAAACUUUAUAACUAUACGUGUGCAAUUUAAAGCAGUAUACCAGACCAAAGUGAACAUCUCUUUCCUUUGCACAAAGCAUAAAAGUUCAAGAGUGCAUAAGAAAUCUUACAACUUUUACAGUAGCAGGAGGCACAUUUCCAACAGAAAUUGGUUGCCGAUUCAUAACAGGUCCAUUCACUAAUUUGAAAAAGAGGAAAGAAAAAGAAAGGACAAGUUAGCAAACAAGCAGGAUAACCAAGAAUUAACCAUGAAAAAUUAUGAACAGCCUAACCAUAACAAACUUAAGUGAUUAAUUCAAGCAAGACAGCCUAUUAUACUAAGAUUUGUAAUUCAAACCUUACUAUGUUCAUUUGAGGGGUAUGACGAGACAAUUACUCUUAUAAAAGAUAAAAUAGAAAUUGCGACUACACCUUAUUGACACUGAAACAUUGAUAAUUUCAACAAAAAAAAAGUCAAAUAGAUAAGUGAAACCGAAUCAUUAAGUACUUUCAUUAACAGAAAAAAAAAAAAAAAAAAACCAAAUAUUUUGCAGUGGAAAAAGGGACAACAUAUUGACUGCAAAACCAACCAGAGGGCAUAGAAGUUGGAGGCGGCCCAGUAACUGAAGCAACAGGAGCUAUGUCCAUUUUUACAGGACUCUGAUUUGAGGGCAAAGUUGUAAUUCCUGGACGACUUAAAGUAGCACGGGCCUCCAUAAAAUUCUCUGAGAUUAAAACAAGAAAGCGGGGAUUUUUCGCAUUAUCAAUUGGUGGAUCUGCCGCUCUAGGGUUGCGCUUUCCCUGCAUUGGCAAAGUGCUCACUAUCACACCAACUUCUUCUAGUGAUCUUAAGCCAUAGGAAAUAAAAUAUUCAGUCUGGCAAUAAUACUAUCACCUCCCUUUUGUAUUGUCGAACAUUCUUUGCAGCUUUAUUAAUAUAAUUAGACAGUGGUUCCAUGCAUAUGAAUACCAGAAAAAACUAUAUUUUUUGUUCAAGACAGUCUAAGUGGUUGAUUUUAGAAUUCAACAACAUAAAGGGUUAAAGCUCAACAGAGCACCAAGGAAAAUAAAGGAAGUUACUUUAAUGUUGAUUUAGCAAGAUAUACAAAAGGUCAAAAGCUUAAUACAUACAUACAUACAUACAUACAUACAUACAUACAUACAUAUAUAUAUAUAUAUAUAUAUAUUAUAUAUAAUAUUUAAGGAUAAGAGAUAAGAGAUGGAACAUACCGCAUUGUAUAUUGCUCUGAGCUCAGGUAGCUGUAUUGGACAAAUGACUGACAGUGAAACAGAGCUCUGGAUGAAAAAGUAAGGGCUCAUUACUGAUAAUUUUCAACCUUCACGAGGAACCCAUCACAAGGAAAGGAACAGACAUCAUUAAAAUGGGAAUAAACAAAAACACUACCUGUGGAAAUGAUUUAGCAACAGCCUCAGCAUCAUAAAGACGAUUUUCUGUUUGUGCAUCAAUAUUUUCAUUUUGCUCCAAAUUUUGAAUUUGUGGCCGAUACACUGGUGUGGGCAGAGGGUGAGGUUUACUUGCAGCAAUAAGAACACAAUGCUUCUGACAAUCCACAUUUUGUUGAUUUUGGCUUCCAUUUUGAACUGUAGGGAACAUCUGUGUUUUACAUCAGAAGAAUAGUAAAUGUUAAGUUUAACAUGCGACUAAGAAAUGCAUUUGAACUCAAAAGUACUUAGACGGCUUUGAACAGCAUACCAUUAGAGCUUCCGAAAGCCCUUCCGCAAUUGCAGCAUCACUAAAACCACCCCCAGAAAAGGGUAUAGCUGAAAGCCUAUGUAAGAAGAGAUCCACAUCCCUUGUCCAGCCACUCCGUUGUACCAGGCAACCUUGAUGAAAGGUUGUACAAUUAUUUCAAAAUAUUCAUAUAUAUAUAUAUAUAUAUAUAUAUAUUGAGCAAAUGCCAGUUACAGUAAUGACAUGGAAUGCCUACAUAUCAUCUUGGUGAAUUGGGUUCAUAAGAAACAAGGUGUGAUACUAGUUAAGUGGUAAUUUACCAGGAAAAAAAAAAAAACUUCCAUUUCCAGCCAUAAGUUGUCCUACUAAGGGGAACUGGAAACGUAUAACUUAAUGUAGCUCGCUGUAUUUCCACAUAAAGUUCGCAAAACAAGUUUUUCAGACUUCCAGGUGGUGUUAUGUACAAAGAGCCACUACGUUACAAUAAAGUCUACUAAUUUUAGAAUUUAACUUAAAGCUAGUAAAAAUCCACCACUUCAAAGGGAAUAAUUCCACAAAGCAUGUUAAAAUCACCAAGAAAUCAUUUGCAAACCUUGAACAACAUCCACCUUAACUUUCAAACAAUUAUUUGACUUAGUAUAAGAUUGAACCCUGUUUACAAAGAACUAUUUGACUUAGUGUAAGAUUGAAUCCUGUUAGUAGGAGGAUGGAGGACUAGCAAGUCUUCCCCUACAAAAAGUAAAAUUCCUGAAGAAUUUGUAGUCAACCUCGUACUGCAAUAAUAAAUUAACAACACAAGUCAUACAUCCGAAAACUAGGAAUAAGAAGAACAAAAUUACAUACCACAAUAAGAUCCAUGAGUAUUGAACGUGACCAGGGAGAGCUCAACAGUAGAAGUCGACAGCUUCUGCAUCUCAAAAGCCAAAUUACAUAAUAAGAAAAAGACUACCAAGCUAGAAGUCUUACAGACGGAACUAAUAAUGUUGUUGCCAGUGAAACGUAAGAAUGGUUGUCUAUGGUUUGAUAAUAGUUGAUGUAGUGUACACAAAUGGUAAUCAAAUUAUUACAUGCAUGCUAUUAACAUCUAGUCAAAGAAGGCACAACCACCUACACGAAAACAUGUUUAAAUAUGUAAUGAACAAUUAACAGUUCGGACAAAUGACUUCUGAUGGAUAAUGAUAAACCUAAAGUAAUGGAAAAGGGACAUACCUGCCCACUUGGCUCGUUUCCACAGAAACUCCUGCAGGAAAAAGAUAAAUCAGAUGUGACUUAUUUAUAGAGUAGUGCAUAAAAUCCCAUGCAUGUUAAUGAAAAAUCAAUGACAAACUUCAUAUUUGGUUCUAUGUACAGGAAUGUAUUAGAUGAAGAUUGUUAAUAUUCCAAGUAUGAACUUUUGCUGAAGUUGUUAUAGCUAGGCACUUAUUAACUUUUAGAAUUCUCCAGGACACUAUAAAAAUUUCAUGUGCAAUGAAAUGAAACUGUAAAUGGGAAAUCAUGAUAAAACCUCAUCUUUUAUACUAUACUUGGGGGAGUUAAUUAAACCCCAGGAGAAAUAUAUGAUUCAACAGGACAAAUUCAUGAGAACUUACCUUGUAACCUACAUCAUAAGUAGAAACCAGAAAGUAACGUGUGAAAUCAAAGCCGGUCAUAGACAAGGAGGGAGAAAGAACAGAAGCUAGCUACAACACAGCACAAAGGAAGAAAGAUAGAAAAAUUACUAAGAACUUAAUCGCGAACCUUACGAUCUUCUCUAAAUAAUCUUUAAAAAUGAGUUCCCAGAAGGGACCCAUGGCUGCAGUCCCUUCAACAGUGAUGAUCAGUUGUUUCUCAGCCAUUAAGGUUUUCUCUGUGAUAGGAUUGGGGAUCUACUUUUAAAGAUCACAUUGACGACCUCGGGCAUAUCUAUUAGUCUCAUUGAUGAGCACGUAUGUACGUUUUUCUCUAGUUAUUGACACGUCUGCACGAAACUCUGUAAGGUAAAAACUAACCAUCCACCAUCGACCACGUAACCUAUACGUUACUGAUUAUAGUAUUACAAUAACAAAAAUAAUAUUAAGAAUUUAAAUAAUUAAUAAUAAUGUGUAAAAAUACACUUCAGACAUCGUAGUAUAGAGAAUGCUCACUCCAAUAAGCUGGAGCAUGAUACUCUGCUUCAAGAUGUCUAAGGAGUUAUCCACUCUCUCCUUUGCUUGACCACCGGAGGAAAACCAAUUAUUCAAUGUCAAACCCAAAACGUAAAUAUGACAGAUUUAGCCUAUAAGUACUGUAUUUGUUCCUAAAGCAGAAGGUUCUGUAAUAAGUUAAUAGCAAACACGGGAUAAUAACUGAAAGUUACCUCAUUAAAAUCGCUUGUAUUGUCUGCAUAAUUUGGAAGGAAGUUAAUCUUGAUACAUGGAAUGUAUCUAUCUGACCAAUUAUAGGACUUAUUUUCCAUCACAUGCCAACAAGCAACAAAUCAUCGCAUGGAGCUCAUCACCGCGGAUAGCUUCUAACAAAACUGACGAGAACUAACUAAUUAUUUAUAAAUCAAUCAAAAUCCAGUUUCCAUCAGGAUUAUAUGAAAUAAAACUUUGUACAUAGUAGAAAUAUAGCAAGGCUGCCUACGGUUUCACGGUACGAGGGUACAGAAAAAUCGGACCUUUCUACAACUACAACACACUAAACUAGUUUUAUCAGAUUCUUUAGUAGCUGACGAAAGAUUCAAAAUUGAACCAAAACUGUAUAGUUUUUCCAGCUAACAAACAACUACUCCGCAUAACCAAUUUCAAAGUGAAAAGUGAAAUUGCAAUCAAAUGUCGAAUCCGAGCCACCAAACGCAGCCGAAACAAGCUAAUUAAUCACAUAAACAAGCCACAUAAAAUUCUCGCCCGAUAACAAACACCAAAACCCUAAAAUCACAAUGCAACAAAAAAUCUAAAAAAGAAAUCAACAAAAGAAUAAAUUCAGCUAAGAAACUCCCUACCUGAUGAUCUUAUCAAGGUAAUCGGAGACGACGGUUGCCCAGCAGGGCCCCAUGGCGGCGGUGCCUUCAACGGCCACGAUCAGCUGCUUCUCCGCCAUCGUACAGCUAGAAAGGACCGUAGAGAAAUUUCAACUGCUUUUGCUGGCUGUGCGGCGGAAAUGUGUGAGAGUCCAAAGCUUGGAAACGGUGGUAAGUGCACGAAACGCAGCGUUCUGGACGACAAAGACGAGUAUUUUAAAUGGGAGUCGAUACCCCGCUGCUGCCGCGACUGGUUUGGGGUUUCUUCCGGUGGCGCAAAAUUAAAGGCCGAGCCCACAGCCUUUUUUAAGUUUUUUUUUUUUUUUUUUUUUUGAAAAACUGGAAAUAUUCAUAACCAGGGCUGGAACCAAAAACACAGGGAGACCUAUCAGGAGGCAACAACCAAAGUACACAAACAGAUGGCAAUGAAGAGGGGAACAAAGGCUAAAGAUGUUGCACCAAGUGUGAAGCGUCACCCUUUCACUACCCAAAAACAAUUACGGAGGACAGGGGAGGCCAUCCUUGUUCAAAAUAUGCACCAGCGAAUAUGGGGGAUGGUUAAUCCAAGUAUAACCACACAUCUCCGUGUUACUUCUCGACGCCAAACGGUCCAUCGCCAAAUUGACUGAUCUCGAAACCCAAUACCAACGAUACAUCUAAAAGGAAUCCUGAAGCCUUAAAAUUCUAGUCAACGUAGGAUAAGUCUCUCAGCUGCAGAGGACAAAUCAUUACCAAAAAUGUUCUCUUUAGAAUCCGAUUCAACAAUAAUUAUGUGCAAGCCCAGAGAAUGAGCAAAUUCACAUCCAAACAAAAUGGCAAGAGCUUCUGCCACAACAACACACGGAGCAGAAAUCAUCAGUUUCCACACCCCAACAAACCUUCCAUCAGUGCAUCUGGCCACAAUCCCCACACAGCCCUCAGCCGAAGUAACAUCCCAGCUCGCAUCAACAUUGAGCUUGGUAAACAUGGAACAGGGCAGAGAUCAACGAACCAAACCCAAAGGGGAAACCUGCUGAGGUAGAAAGUUCCUCAAAGGUGGAUAAGAAGCCUUCAAAAAAGUUGUUGUCGAAGAGGAGAUAGACAUAAUGACUUUUUGUGGGUUGAUAGCCGUUUGGUUAUAGAGAUUGUUGAUAAUCAAAAUCGGAGGUCUUGGAACAACGUAAAUCCGUCCGUGAAUCUGCAAGAAAUGUAAAUAACACAAGAGUUAUCGUGGUUUACCCCAAGGCUUGGGCUACGUCCACACUGAUUGUAUUUCUCUGACUGUAUGUAUGGAUUACAAGGGUGAGGGGGAGUCCCCCCAGAGAAAGAGAGUGUUAUUGUGUUUGUGAGGGUAUUGCCCUCUGUUGGGUUCACUAAGUCCCCUUUGUGAAAGGAGAAAAGUCCCUUUUUAUAGAAUAAGGGGCUCCUCCUUUUACAUAAUCAUAUGGGCUGGGUAAUGAGGCCAAAUGUAUCAAAGUCUGAGGCCCAAUAUGUGUGGUACCAACAGUAGUCCCCCAAGUUUUCAGUCAAGAGAGUCUUUUGGCUGGAGACUUCAAAUCCAAUCCAUGUAUGGGCCGAAGUGGCUAGAUGCCUUGAACCAGUACUCAACCCAAGGCAAUGCUCAACAUAAAGCAAUAUUCGGCUAGAGGUAUCACACGUUACGAGAUUGCUCGGUUGGAGGCGAUGCUCGUUGUGAGGCUGCUCGGCUAAAGGCUAUACGCGACGAGGCAUUUGCUCGGUUGGAGGCGAUGCUAAUUGCGAGACGGCUUGCUAGAGGCUAUGUUCGCUGCGAGACGGCUCGGUUCGUGGUACUCCUCAUUGCAAGUAUCUAUUUUAUGUCGACAUGCACUCAGUAUGAGUUAAUUCUCGACAUGACUCGGGUCCGCUUGUCGGGUUCGCAUAUUGGGUCUAUGUGUCGGAUCCGUGGAUCGAGUCCGCAAGUCGAGUCUUUGAGUUGGGGUCAUAUGUAUGGUCAUUGAUUUGGGGCUAUCUAUAGGGUUAUCGAGUUGGGACUAUCUGUAAGGUCAUCGAGUUGGGUCCGGGCACAUAAGUGUCCCAAUAAGCGAAUGUCCGUGCAAGUGGGUGUCCGGUCAGACAAGAGAUCACCAUGAGCACAUGGCUCAUCAAUCUAUAAGUUGGUAGAUUUCGUUAAUCAGCAAUAAUGUUGAUCAGUGGACCUAGUUGCUCAAUAAUUCCUAACAAUAAAUGACAGUAUAAGUACGACCGUAUAAUGAAUAAAUCAAAUUGACAAAGUUUGUCAAGGCAAAAUAUUGUACUAUGUGCCUUCUAUACAUAAAUAAUUUAUUCAGUCGUGUGGUAAAUAAUUUGUAUCAUAUAUCAACAAUAUAUUAGGUAUUGCCUAAAUGUGUGUGUAUAUAUAUAUAUAUAUAUAUAAUCAUAUGUUGUUUAAUAAAUCAUAUGUUGUAUAAAUCAAUAACGUGGUAUAAAUAAUGUGAUAUCAGAAAUAAUAUUAUUUAAUCAUAAGUCAUCAUAACAUAAAAAAUAAUAGGAUAUUAAAUAAACAAUGAUAUUCGGAAAACAUUAUGAUGUGAAAAGUAAAGCUCUUUUUUCUUUUUCUUUUUCCUUUUGUCCCUUCAUGAUGAAGGUUUUAUGGCACUAUCAUAUAUAUAUAUAUAUAUAUAUAUAUAUAUAUAUAUAUAUAUAUAUGUGUGUGUGUGUGUGUGUGUGUGUGUAUGUAUAUACAUAUAUUUAUCAUGAGGUGCCGCAUUAUAUGCACAUAUCACGAAAGCAAAUAAUAUAUAGCUAAAUGUGCACUAAAAUAUAAAUUUGAUAGAAAUGAUGUGGUCUCCUCAAAGAAUAUGCAUACUGUAAAGCAUCCCCAACACAAAAUAAUAAUAAACUAUUUAAAUAAACAAAUGAUAAGUUGGAGAAAAGUAAGAGGAUCUUCCUCCUUAGAAAUUAUAAGUUGCUUUCAUUUGGGAUCCUCAUCUUCUCCAAUUGGGUAUAUAUAUAUAUAUAUAUAUAUAUAUAUAUAUAUAUUUUAACAAAGGGAUAGUGGGUAAACAUUAUACCAUGUACCCUUUUUCUUUCUGCCAUGAAUGAUUACAGAUAUAACACUAAAAUAUUGAAAACAUGAGUGAUUAAAGAUAAGUAGCAGAACAUCAUAGAAUGCAUGUGAUGAUAAAAAAUAAUUAAAGGUAAAUAAUAAUAAAAUAAUAAUAAGGAACCCUUAUCUUCCUCCUGGGUCUUCCAGCUUUCUCAGAAAGUGGAAAGUGGACAUGGUGGUAUUCACAGGAGGUGGGAUCCCUGUGUCUGGAAUGAUUAAAGAUAGAUAAGUGUGAUAGAAAUGAUUGCCUUCGCUGCUUUUAGUGAAGGCUUUUUCAACAAAGUGGGAAAAUGCACUCCCCCUCCUAAAAUACAGACACCUUCCGUCGCACAGCACCAACACCGAGUCCAGUUCUUAUAGGCGAUGCUGAGCAGGUUGUGCUCCUCCACCGUCAGCUCGGUCCCGGCGGCGAUGGAGCCGACAACAAGCUUAUCCAUGAAGCUCAUCAUCUCUUCGUACCGCUCGGCCUGCUCGGCGAGUUUUGCCAGGUACACGUACUGUUCUCUGCUGAGGUUUUCAGGGACAGCAGAAGCCAUUGAAGCAGGCGAAUCAAGCGUUCUGCAUCCUCCCCGACAUGGGCACGAACGACAUCGCGGCCUGUGGAAGGAUCAUAGAUGGCAAGGUUGACAUAGGAAUAAGUGGACUGAAAGAGGCCGCAGACCAAAGGCAGACAGAGUCAGGGGCCUUCCAUGUCUUGAGAAUGCAGUAGAUGUCAACGAGGUGUUCAAGGUGUUGUGCUUGUGCCAGCAAUUGCCAACUCAAACUGAGCGCAGCACGGCCACCAGAGAAGGCAUAUUUUUGUCAACAGACUCCAGCUCACCUCGGAGGAAGAGGCAAGUCGAGUUCAAGAGGCUUUGGAGGUAGGUGCCACCAUGGCUGCUCUCCAACGACGGUGUUGGUGUCUUGGAUGGCAUUGAUUUGAUUAAUUAUAGCUGGCUGGCGGUGUUUGGUUUUUUGUACCUAAAAUCUAAGUAGUAAACUCAAAUAUAAGAGAGAGAGAGGGUAUAAAGAGACUGUGACUGUGACUGUUUUUUUUUUUAUUUCUUUUUGUUUUGGUUUUUGGGUUUCUGCAGAUUCACGAUAGAUAUUGUGGUGAGGUUUCACGGUGGUGAGAUAAAAAAAUGAAAGUCGUUUCCCACAAAUUGCACCAAAUGUUGAUGCACAAAACCGGAGGUCUUGGAACAACGUAAAUCCGACCGUGAAUAUGCAAGAAAUGUAAAUAACACAAGAGUUAUCGUGGUUCACCCUAAGGUUUGGGCUACGUCCACACUGAUUGUAUUUCUCUAACUGUAUGUAUGGAUUACAAGGGUGAAAGGGAGUCCCCCAGAAAAAGAUAGUGUUGUUGUAUUUGUGAGGGUAUUGCCCUCUGUUGGGUUCAAUAAGGGGCUCCUCCUUUUACAUAAUCAUAUGGGCUAGGUAAUGAGGCCCAAUGUAUCAAAGUAUGAGACCCAAUAUGUGUGGUACUGUUGAUCCUAAAAACUACAAAGCUUACGUAGCGCGCAGGCCGAGUAAUCUAUAAGCUAACUACGUCAUUCGAUGAAUGCGGGGCGUGCCAACUCGUUGCCCGAGCUUGACCGAGGAGUAAAUUUGUUGAUGUUGCGUUGGGUACGCGGCUGACUUCUGCGUCUUGCGAUUGCGACCGAAGAAGGAACACGUCUCGGCCUCUUGGGUUCUCGAACCUGAAGACAAGGCUACUAUUCUUACAAAGUUCACGAAUCGUCGUCGUUGGAUUCGGUCACAGUGAUGGUAUUCGUCAGAGUAAACUCACGCCGAAUCGACACCAAAGUGUAAGAGCACAAAUACUCGAAGCAGAUAUGAGUCUUAAUAAUGAACGUGGUUCGACCGUCUGAACGUCGAACUCUAAAUCCUACUUGAGAGUAUCCAAUCAUCAAAUAACUCGGCGUACAAUGUGCUGAGCUCGGUGGGCUGUAACACCUCGCUUCGUCGAAAAGGUUAACGAGAUGACCUCAAUCAAUAAGGAUUCAGAAAUCAUUCUCAACCGAGACUUGGAUAGGUAACCAACCGUCUUCGUCGUAGUGCUGUUGAUGCCAACAGAAGAUACUACGAGAUCGACUGAUUCUACGGCGACAGAGCUAUCUAUGUCGACCGAAGAUAUCAUUGGUUGCUUUCACAGUGUUGUUGAUGCCAACGGAAGAUGUGUCAGCGAAAAGAGAAAAUAAAAAAAAAUCUCAAGUUGUUGAGAGAGUUUGCGCAUGGCAGUUGUGUGUUGAAUUGGAAAGGGCUCGAACGAUGCACAGCCUCCUCUAUUUAUAGCACCGAAUACCUUCAAGGUCGAGUUAAAAACCUACCAAGAUUAGGACUUCUUCUCCUAAUCGAACUCCAACUCGACCAGUCUUUUUUUUCACUAUACUUUUGAACCCAGUCCUAUAUUGAGCCGGAUUCACUUCCAGGUUGUUAAUCUCGUCGAAACUCCUCAUUGCACCAGGAUUCGACUCGUCUUGCAGCAUGACUUAACCUACCCAGGUUUGGAAGCCCACGAACCAAACAAUCCAUGGUAACUUUGUCGUAUGGCCUUCCGGGCAGAGAAUAAUUCUAUACUCGGUCCAAACUGAUAUUUUGGGCCCAAACAGGUACCAACAGAGAUAAUUACACCGAGCCUUCCAAAUAAACCAACAAGUGAAGGCAACAUAAGACAAUGACCAAAUAGUUGCAUCCUUAGAUCCUAAAGGUGAAUUUAAAAAAAAGAAAACCAGUUCGCCAACAUCGAGAAACCAGUUUUAUCCACCACGUAAUAAACAGUCAAUAUUAAGACCAACUCCAAUGGUGGGCUAAAAGCUAAAUUUCCCCAUUUAUUCCCCUUCCCAAACACCACCCAACCCAUGCUAAAAUAUCGAGCUAAAAGCCAAAUGCCAAAGCUAGGCCAAAUUCCCCCAUAUGCGAGUGGACUUGCUAGCACUUGGGCCAGUCUCGGCCCGCCCACGCUCCAACGCACCCCAUGCGGUUGGCUUGCAAGGGUUUCCCGACAGGGGUGAGCCCCGCUGUCAGCUGUGUGUCGGCCAACAUUAUCAUCCUAACAACUAUAGUUUUAAUCCAAGGGCUGGGCUCAGUGGCGGAUCUACAGAGGGACCUGGGAGGUCCCAGGACCCUCCGGCAAUCCUAAAAUGCUACUAUAAAUUUUCUGGGGGACCCCUCAAAGCAGGAUCUGUGCUGUCAUGUGCUGCAGGUUGCAGCUUGCAAUGGAGAAGAAGACAGGGGGAAGAAAAGAAGACAGGGGGAAGAAGAAAGAACAGGGCCUAAAGGCCUUUUAAAAAAUUGGUCCAAAACGCAGUGUUUUGGCCAAUUUGUUUAAAUUGUUUUUUUUUUUUUUUUUAAAACCCAACCGUUUGUCCAUGAUUCCCGAGACCCUUUAACGCCUAGCCCACAUGAUGGGCCAUCCUGAGUCACUCUUCCUUCCCCACCCCCCAGUUCCUGCUUUUCCAUUCCCCCUAAUCCCCAUCUUUCUUAUAUUCACCCAAAACCAAAACCCUAAAUUUCUAAUCCCACCCAAUCCCAUAUUAUAAUUAUAUUACUCCAAUAUUAUACCUCCACUUGUUUCAAUUCUCCAAGCCACCACUAUUUGGUUCAAAAUUCAAGUAAGUUUUUUGGUAUUAAUCUAAUCUCAAUUAAAUUAUAUUAGAUAUUGGUGGAGAUUUUUAGUCUAUUAUUGAUAUGAUUGUUGAUAUGUUUUAUGUUUGUAUACUCAUUUUAUCAUUGAAAUUUAGAUGGAUUUUUUGUUUAUUGGUUGAUUGGUAUAUGUUUUGUGUUUUUGGUUAAAUGUGUAGUUUAGAAAUAAGAAAUAUGGAAAGAUUUUUCAAGCCAAAGCCAAUAGCACUAUCUACUUGUUCGGGUAGUUUGAGCUCAAGACAAAAUGAGCGUGACAUUGAUUUUAAUAGUCUUGAGAGAGACUUGGGAAAAAGAAUUCGAAUGAAGGACUAUCCUUCUAAUAUUCAAGAUGAGGUCCGAAUAGCAUAUUUGCAAAUGGGACCUUGUAGGCCUACAAAGUAUGAGUUCCCAUACACUUUGCAUGCAAAGAAAAAGCAACGAUUUGUUGUUUCGUGGUUUGAAGAAUAUGAUUGGUUGGAGUAUAGUAUAUCUAAAGAUGCGGCAUUUUGUCUUCAUUGCUAUCUCUUUAAAAUCAACUUUUCACAAUUAGGAAGCGAUGCCUUCACUGGGGUAGGCUUUAAGAAAUGGAAGAAUGCAAGAGAAUGUUUUGACAAGCAUGUUGGUCCUAUUGGUAGUUUCCAUAAUAAAGCUAGAGAAGCGGCUAGUUAUUUAAUGAACCAAAAGACACAUAUUGAAGCAGUUGUGAUCAAAUAGUCAGAAGAAGAGUGUAUGAAAUAUCGUCUUUAUUUGAAUGCAUCAAUAGAUUGCACUAGUUCUUGUUGCGACAAGUCCGUCCUUUUUGUGGCCACGAUGAAAGUGACACUUCGAAUAAUAGGGGGAAUUAUUUAGAACUCUUGCAAUUCCUUGCGGAUCAUGAUGAGAAAAUAAAGGAAGUUGUGUUGGAAAAUGCUCCGAGAAAUCUCAACCUAAUAGCUCAUUCAAUUCAAAAAGAUAUUGUCAAUUCAUGUGCCUUCGAAACUAUUAAGGCUAUUAUGAAAGAAGUGAAAGAAAGUAAAUUCUUUUAUAUAAUGGUAUGAAUCACGUGAUAUUUCAACAAAGGAGCAAAUGGUAGUGAUUUUGCGUUAUGUGGACAACAAAGGUCAAGUAAUUGAAAGGUUCGUGGGAGUCAAACAUGUUACUGAAACAACUUCAAGUAAACUAAAGGAGUCCAUUGAUGAGUUCUUGAAACUACAUGAUUUGAGCUACUCCAACCUACGAAGUCAAGGUUAUGAUUGAGCGAGUAAUAUGAGAGGUGAGUUCAAUGGCCUUAAAAAAAAAAUUUGGAUGAAGAAAGUUGUGCAUUCUAUGUUCAUUGUUUUGCUCAUCAACUACAAUUAGCUUUUGUUGCUGUAGCAAAGAAAAACUCCGAUGUUGGCGCUUUUUUCACAUUGACUAAUAAUUUGGUGAAUGUUGUUGGAUGCUCAUGUAAGCGUCAUGAUGCACUUAGAGAGAAACAACAAGAAAAUCUCAUGAAAGCUAUUGAAAAUGAUUGUCUUGAAACGGGGCAAGGGUUAAAUCAAGAAACUAGUCUCAAACGUGCUGGGAAUACACGGUGGAAUUCACAUUAUGGUGCUUUGAUUAGUUUGAUUACAAUGUUCUCAUCUGUGGUGGAUGUGCUUGACAUGAUUGUUGAAGAUUGCUACAAUGAUAGUGCUGGUGAAGCAAAAGGUUAUUAAAAGAUUUACAAUCUUUUGAGUUUGUGUUCCUCCUCUUUUUGAUGAAAUCCAUAUUAGGAGUUACAAAUGAUUUGUCACAAGCAUUACAAAAAAAGAAGAUCAAGAGAUUGUGAAUGCAAUGGCUUUAGUCAAGACAUGUAAAGAACAACUACGUUGCAUGAGGAAUGAUGAAAAUUUUGAUCUUUUGGUUGAUAAAGUAUCAUCUUUUUGUGUUGAACAUGAAAUUGAGAUGCCUAAUAUGGAUGAUUUAUAUGUCAUUCAAGGGAAGUCAUUGCGUAAGGCUCCAAGAAAGACCAAUCGUCAUCAUUACAAAGUGGAGCUCUUUUUUGAGGUCAUUGAUUUCCAACUUACAGAAUUAGAUGAUCGCUUCACUGAAGGUAAUACCGAAUUGCUUAUUUGCUUGGCAUGUUUGAGUCUGAAUGAUUCAUUUGUAGCUUUUGAUAAAGAGAAGCUUGUUCGCCUUGCUCAGAUGUAUCCUAAAGAUUUCAUGGAUCGAGAUAAAUUGGCACUUCAAGAUCAACUUGAUAUUUACAUUCAUUUUGUGCGUUCUGAUAAUGAUUUUUCUCAAUUGCGGGGGAUUAAUGAGCUUGCUAAGAAAAUGGUGGAGAAAGGGUUGCAUCGAACGUUUGCAUAUGUAUAUUUGCUUGUUCAGUUGGCUUUGAUUUUACCGGUUGCAACCGCUUCAGUGGAAAGGGCAUUUUCCGCUAUGAAUAUCAUUAAGGGUCCAUUUCGCAACAAAAUGGGAGAUCAAUGGUUGAGUGACAGCUUAAUUGUUUACAUUGAGAAAUAUGUUUUUUCAUGUAUUGGUAAUGAAGCUAUCAUGGAACAUUUUCAGACUAUGAAACCUCAUCGUGGACGCUUGAAUUAGGAUUUUAUAGCUUGUAAUGUUGUUUUGCACAUGAUUUUUGAAUGAAAUGUAUUAUAUUUAACUUUUCAAUGUUAUUUUUGUCUAUAAAUUUUUUGACCUUUAUUAUUAGGAUCCCCCAAGUUUAAAAUCCUGGAUCCGCCACUGGCUGGGCUUUAAGGACCGUUGGUUGAUCCAACGGUCCAUAUUCAAAUUUAAUUUUUUUAGAAUAUGUUAUUUUAAAAUACAUUGAAUCCAAUGGCUGAUAUUGAAUAUAAUCAAAUCUAACGGUAAAAAAAAGAUCUAAUGGCCCAAAUUUAAAUUUAACGGCUAAAAUAAUUAAAAAAAUUAUUUAACUCAAAAUUCACCAAAAAACUCUAUAAAUACCUAUGUAUUUGUUCAAACAUCCACCCAAAACUCAAUUUUCUCCUACAAUUCUACCAAUUUAUCUUUCUACCAUUUAUUUCCAUUUCCAAAUUGUUCAACAUGGCAAUAGAGCAUAUUAGAGGUCGUAAUUGAACAUGUGAGGAAGAUGUUGCUUUAUGUUUGGCAUGAGUUUCUGUUAGCGAAGAUGGUGCAGUUGACACAAAUCCAAAUAAGAAGGUUUUGUGGUAUAAAAUCAUUGCAAAGUUUCAAGAAAACUGCAAUUGCGGCGGGCGGGAUGGUAGUGGUGUUUAUGAUCAGUGAAAGACUAUCAACAAAGCAUGCACUUUAUGGAAGGGAAGCAUUGAGAUAGCCGUGAUUGGCAUGGUUAGUGGAAAGAGCGCCACAUAAAUUAUGAGUUUUGUUCUUGAUAUUUUAUUUGUCACGUACAUAAUAUUAUUUUGCAACUAAUUAUUUUUAUGUAUUUUUUGCAUAGGGUGACAAAGCAAUGGAAAUUUACAAGACAAGAGUAACACUAAAAAAUCAAGUUUUUAAGUUGCAACAUGCUUGAGACGUCCUCAAGGAUUGUCCGAGGUGGGGAACCGAUGCAGACCAAUAAUGGGGAAGAUUAUUUCAACAUGAAGCCACACAGACAAAUGCCGGAGAUGAAGGUGUCGAUGAAAUGACCCCAUCUCCUUUUUUUGCAAGGCCCCCGAGAAGAGAUAAGCAAAAGGAAGCAAAGAGAAAAGGGAAGUCGCAAGAUUCGAUGAGUGGACACUUUGCUACCGGAAUUGCAAAAUUGAACGAAACUCAUAGCGCUUGCCAAGAAGAAACGGGCCAAAUGCGUUUGCAAAUGAAGGAAAUCUCAAAUAGGGAGUAAGAUAGAUUUGAAAUUAAUUUCAUGAUGGAAGACCUCAGUAAAUACAUUCCAGAGAGGAAGAAGUUCUUACGUGGUAAGCAAAAGAAAAUUUUACGAAAGUCUGCUUCAAGGAGUAUAUUUCAAAAUGAUGAAUCCUCUGAACCUUAUAUCCCAAGUCCUGUACGAAGUCCAUCACAAGUGAAGAUGGUGGAUAUGAUUAUUAAGUUUAUGUAGUGUAUGAAUUAUGUGUUUUAUUAAUUAAGUUUAUGUAGUUCAUUAAUUAUGUGGUUUAUGAAUUAUCGGUUGUAUUAAGUUUAUCUGGUUUAUGUACUUUAUUAAAUUUAUGUCUUAUUAAUUAUUGUUUCUAUUAAUCUAGAUGCCUUCAAUAAUUAUUGUACUUAUUAUUCCACACUUUGAUGUAUAAUAAAUGCUUUCAAUAAUUCAAUCUCCAUUCAAUAAUUUAUCCAACGUACUAAACAAAAUACUUUGCACAAUAAGACACUUAAAUUUAUUAUUAGAAAAUAACAACAUAGUACACUUAAAAUUAUUACAUAAAUGCUUAACCAACAUCAUCAAUGUUCACCUUCUCAUCAGUUGAGUCUGUAGAGCACCCAUUAGCUAGCAUGCAAAAAGCAGAUGUGAGCUUCUGAUGAAGUGAUAGACAUUGUCAGCUUGCGACAUCUAUCAUACUUGCAAAGUAGUGGUCAUGAAAGUUCAGCUUCAGCGUCGAACAAUUCUGCAUCCUCAAUCUCAAUCCUUGCUUGGUUUUGUGCCAUAUGCAUUGCCAUGCUACCCCUUAUUCUAUCACCCAUUGAAAGUUGAAAGAUUGGUGAAUAUAGAGGAUUUUUAGGAACAAAAAUUCAUUGAAAAUUGAAAGAUUGGUGAAUAUAUAGGAUGAUUGAAGGUUGAAAGGUUGUAUGAUCAACUAAUAUUGGACGUAUGUUUAUAUAGAGGAUGAUUGAUGAAAGUUGAACGGUUGGUGAAAGUUGAAAAUUUGGUGUUGAACAGUUGGUGAAUUGAAAAUUUGGUGUUGAACGGUUGGUGAAUUGAAAGUUAGCCUAGGGUUGAAAGAUUGGUGAAAGUUGAAGGCUUGCUUUAUGGAAAAUUUAGUGAUUUUUUAAUAUUUAUCGGAAUUUAAAUAUUUUUAUAUUAAAAUGUUCAUAAAAUUAAUUUACGAUAGUCUAUAUAUUUAUUUAUUUUUUAAAAUUUAACUGAAGAAAAAAAUAGCCUAAGUUCAUUAUUUAAUAAUUAUGAGCUAAAAUUUUAGGUCAGAAGGGUUUGAGCAGAAAAGUUGUUUCUGAGCUAAAAAUGUUGGCUUUUAACCCAACCAUUGGAGUUGAUCUAAUAGGGUAACCCUUGAACUAUUUUGUAUUGACCAAUUUGCACCCUACCUUUAAGAUUUUGAAUUUCUGACCACUUUUUUUUUUGUUGAUUUCUUUUUAAUUUCUAAACAAAAACAAAUGAAUGAGUGAAAAUUGUUAAUUUAGAUUUUGAUAUAAUCAUGGAGUGCAACACACUUAUUUGGGUUGGUUGUGUCAUCUUUGCUUGAUCUUUCUUUUAUUUCCUUCUAUUUUGAAUCAAUAUAAGUGGAGAAAUCAAGCAUUUUGCUUUGAAGAAUAAUAUCGAAAAAAAUCUCAAGAAUGGCAAGGAUAAUUUUCUACUAUAUCGGGAAAGUAUCAAGGAAAAAAAGGUAAUUUUCAGCUAUGAUGAGAAAAUCUCAAAAGUAUGAGAGGAUCCGAAUUUUAAUUUGAUAACAAAACUGAAGUUUAAUAUUCUAUUUUAAACUAAUCUAAAUUAUAAUAUGGAUAUUUAAAUUAAAAAAUAUAUUCGCUUCGGCCAAUGCAACUACCACUGAUCUAAAAAAGAAGUAAUUUUGGUUUCCUUCUUUUGGGUAAUGCAAAGACCCAAAAUUAGAAUCAUAAUACAAAAAAAUAAAUAUGCAUUUAUUCCCGAAAUUAGAAAAAAAAAAAGUAAUUAUUAAUCAAAUUUCAUGUUCAUGUGGGUGAACCCGUGGCAAGUGGCAGCAUAAAAUCCAUUUGAAUUUGAGGAAUUUAAUUUAAAUUAAUAAUGAAGUAAUCAACUUUGCACUUCAAUCGCUCUCCAAAUUCGCGGGAACACCAUGGCAGCCGCCGCUCAGGGCAGCUCUCUUCUCUGCUCCUGCCGCAGCAGACCAUGCACAACCAGAACAACCCUAUCCCCUUUCGGUCCCUAUCCCUUUCUCUCUCCUCUCACCCCCAUUGGCGCAAGCUCCAAACAGUUGAAGCUUUCGAAUUCCAGGUUCUCUUUCUCCUCUAUCUCUAUAUAGGGUUUCUAGGUGAAUUUGAGAAAUGAAUUGUCAAUUAAUUUACAUAUUUGCAGGACUGGUAGGGUUGUUUCUGCUGUGGUUUCUGAGGAGAACGCAAUUCAAUCAAGUUUCUCUGGCACCGAUGGGUUCAAGCUCACUUAUUUGGAGGUGGGUUUUCAAUUUUCUUAUUGGUACUUCUUAAAUUUGAUUACUUUUGGGGAUUUUUUUUUACUUGAAUAAAUGUUUACUUUUAGGGGAAUAGUUGGUUGUGGGAUGUGGGUGGGGUGAAAAUACUGGUGGAUCCAAUCUUGGUGGGUAAUUUGGAUUUUGGAAUCCCCUGGCUUUAUGAUGCUGCGAAGAAGUUUUUGAAGAAUUUCCAGGUACUCCUUUAGCUUCGAAAUCAAUUUUUUGAAGCAAAUUUGCCUUCGAUUUUCCUUUUUAAUUACGCAUAUGUUGCCAUUAUUUUGUAGAAUGUUGUGAAGUUGAUAGGCCUGUUUUGAUUGGGUUUGCAACUUUAGUGCAGUUAAGUGAUAUUCCAGAAGUUGAUUGCUUGCUUAUUACACAAAGUCUUGAUGAUCACUGCCAUUUGAAGACAUUAAAGCCCCUCUCCGAAAAGUACCCGAAUCUUAGAGUAAUAGCUACACCAAAUGCUAAGGCCUUGUUGGAUCCCCUUUUCAGCAAUGUGAGUUUGAAACUAAUGUUUUGUUUAAGGCUGCAGCUUCUUGAAUGUUAAUUUUGUUUUUAUUUUAAAUUUUUUAAUAUACGCUGUUUAUCCAGGUUAGGCAUGAACAAUCUCUACAGUCACCACCAAAGAAACAACGAUGCACUUAAAUAAGCAAUGCCUUGUUUCUUAAAAACUAGUGUAGUUUUUAUAAUUGGGGUAUAUAAUCCGGCUGCUGUGUUGGGUUUAUUGUGCAUCUGUUCCCUCUUAAUUUUUGGUUAAUACAUGUGCUACUAAGAUGGUGGACAUUACUACACAAAUUCUAUUCCUAAAUUUUACCUUUCGCAACAACUGAAGUUACUGAACCUUACUGUCAUUACUUCAACUUGGCUCAAUUGUUCCUGAAAAUUGCAAUGCUGGCAUGCAAGAUAUUCCCAAAGCCGUAGAUGAAGUCGCAUUCCGUGUUUCUAUUUGAGAUUUACACUAAUUUUGUUUAGGUCACAUAUCUAGAACCUGGCCAGAGCUCCAUUAUUGAAGCAGGAAAUGGUUCUACAGUCAAAGUUCAGGCCACUGCAGGGCCAGUUCUAGGUCCUCCUUGGCAGCGCCCCGAAAAUGGGUAAGGUGUCAUUUUUCUUAUUGCGAUUGUAACACUAGUGAAUUCCAUUGGCAAGGAAUGAAAUAAAAAGGAAUGAAGUUAAUGGAAAAUUCUUCUUGAUUGAUUGAAUUAAUAAUUACAACAGAGAGAGCAUAUAAAGCUUUUGCUAAUUACAAUGAAGUCCCUAACCAUCUUUACUAAUUACAAUUACAAGUGUAAACAAACUUCUUAAUGACUGAACUUAAAUUGUUGACUGUAUUGGAUGGCUUGGCUUGUAGAUUUUCCUCUUUAUGAAACAGUUCCUUGUAAUAUGUUCUUUAGUCUUUGGUUAAAUGGAUAUUAACGAGAUGUUAUAAUAUGUGGACCAGAUAUCUUGUCAUUUAUCCAGAAGGGAAAUCUACACUUUACUAUGAACCCCAUUGUGUAUACAAUACAAGUUCACUCGAGAAGGAAAGAGCUAACAUUAUUAUCACACCGGUCAUAAAGCAGCUUCUGCCUAAAUUUACCUUGGUCUCUGGACAAGAAGAUGCAGUUCGACUUGCAAAGCUGCUGAAUGCCAAGUACAGAUUCUUUAUACCUUAAUACUAACAUAUACAUAAAGAUGGUUUUACUAGACACAUAUCAACGUCUUUGUUUUACAUUUUGUAGGUUCAUUGUCCCGAUGACAAAUGGGGACUUGGAUGCCAAGGGGCUUCUUGCUAGUUUAGUUUCGGCUGAAGGAACAAUCGAAUCAUUCAAGGUUGUUUUCUUCUUCUCACGGUUUUUUCUACGGUGAAGUAUUAAGAUUUCUUUGUGCAAUAUUAUCACAAUUGAAGUUGUGGUUAUUAAAUGCAGGAACUUUUGUCCAAGGAAUUACCAGAUGCACAGGUACUGCAGCCUACUCCUGGUGUGCCGCUAGAAAUCCCGCUACCUCCAAAUCUUCCGUAAUAUGUUUUCUGCAGAAGAUAUACAGACACUGUAGCUCACUGAAAAUAUGUACACAUCUCAUCAAACUCGUAAUUUGUAAAUGUCUGUUUAUUUUAUUGAUACCAUUUGUUCACUUUUAAUCUGUAUUCAAAAGCAACUCCAAGUAGGCUUGGCCUCUGAGUUACAUAUGAGAAGCUGGUUCACUUGAACAAUAUUCCAUUUUGGAAUAGUUAUUGGGACAUCGGAGGCACAAAUAUUUGUAAGGCCCACUUAGCUAGUGGUAGAGGCAUGCCACUUAAUAAAAUGACAGACAUGCUUUCCAAUUAGCUAUUCCGUUUAGUAAAUUUUUUUUUUUUUCAAUAUUGAAGGGAGGGUUUCUUUAGUUCACAUUAAAAGUACAAAUUUAAGUUACAUAUCUGAGUAAAAGCCGUUAAAUUAUUUAACUUAGUGCUGGUUUGAGAAUGAUGUGUUUUGAAAAAAAACUGAUUCUGUUGUGCUGUGAGAAUAAACAGCUGUGAAAUAAAACUAUAGAGUGUUUGGUAAAUUUUUUUGUAAAAGUGUUUAUGGAAAAAAAAAACGGUAUUAUAAUGUUUGGUAAAUUUUUAUGUAAAACAGCUGUGAUUAUAUGAAAUAACAAAAAAACGGCAUCGAGUAGUUUCUCCCACUACUGAACUAGACUUUCCAAAAACCAAAAACAUCUCUCUAGACGUCUCCCACACAACCCCAAUUUUCUCAGUUUUUAUAUUUUUUGCUCCGUCUUCUUCUUUUUUAUUUUCUGCUCCGUCUCUUCUUUUUUAUUUUCUGCUCCAUUCCUCAAUCUCUCUCGCAUGUCAUUCCUCAAUCUCUCUCGCAUGUCAUCUGAUUUAAGGAGCUAAGAAAAUCUACUCGUAACCCUGCAGCUGCUGAAGAAAUCAAAGAUUUUGAGGGAAACCCAAAAUCCGAAAAGAGGGAAAGAAAUGAGAAAAAUGCAGAGAACCUGGUUUGGGGUUGAAGACGUGGUUGGGGGAGAGAGGGAUUCUCCCGCAAAUCGCAGUCUCCAUGAAUCGAUCUUUCUUUUUUCUUGUGCUGCUGCUUCUGCUGCAAUGCGUCGUGCGAUUUUAUUUAUUUAGUUACAGGAAUUUUCUGUUUUGGUUUAAACAACCGAAAUAACAAGAAAAAGAUCGAACAACUGGUGGACUCCUGUGCUCUGUCUGGUGGGACUUCUGGUUUUCGCAAUCCAUAAGACGGCGUCGUCUUGACCCUACCAAGUACGAACACUGAAAAUAAUUUUUGUCAAAUUAUAAAUCCAAUUUCUUCACCAAAAUAAAUGAAUAAAUACAUAAAUAAAUCCAAUUUAAAAUGAAAAUCCGAAAUGAGCGGUGGGUUAGGCAUCUCCAAUGUACUAGUUCAGUUUCAUUAACGCAAUUUAUAGUUAAUGUAAUUUGGGUCUUGAAUUUUUAUUUUCAGUCAGUUUAUACUUUAUACUUAUAAAAAUAAGUUAAUGUGAGCAUUCUGUCGACUUGUUAAGAUUUUAUUUAUUUUAUGAAAUCCUAUAAGUUGACAAAAGACUUCACAAUGACUUAUUUUAUCAAGCACUAAACUUUAGGGGUGUGAUAUCCACACAUCAUUUUUUACUUCUCACACAUUCUUCUAAGUUUCGGCCGUUAGAUCGGGUGAAUUGAAAAAGAUCAAAGAGUAGACAUUAAUAAAGAGUGUGUGAGAAGUAAAAAGAAGUACGUGGAUAGCACACCCCAAAAUUUAUUGUAACUCUUGACUAUUAAAUUUUUGAUCGUACAUUCAACCCUCAAUUUAUUAUUAGUUUCAUGUAUAAGUUAUAACGGAACAUAUUAGAUUUUUCGCAAUUUUGACACUAGGUGAAAAUGCAGAGAGCAAAAAAACGUAACUGUCCUUUUUUAAGUUUUGCUCUCACGGCCACUUUCGUCUCUCACUUCAUCUGUGUCUGUAGGUCUCCCCCUUUGAACUCUUCUCGAUUAGUUAUUCAAAUUCCAGUUAUUUAACCAUGACCGUCAGGAAAAAAAAAAAAAAGAGGAUUUCCAAGUUAAAGAAAGCAGGAAAGAAGAAAGCUGCCGAUCCGUUUACGAAAUAUGAAGAAAGAUUGGUACGACAUCAAUGCCCCUCGUCUGUGGUUCUAUAACAACAACGUGGGUAAAACUCUGGUCUCCCGUACUCAGGGCACCAAGAGUGCUUCCGGAGCACUCAAACAUCGACUUUCGGAGGUCUCAUAAACUUUUGGGGGAUGAAUUUCACUAUGGACAAGCUGAGGUCCUUGGUAAGGAAAUGGCAGACUUUGAUGGAAGCUCACGUAGAUGUGAAGACGACAGACAAUUAUACUUUAAGGAUGUUCUGCAUUGGCUUCUCUAAGAGACGUCAAAAUUGGGUCGGUAAGCGCUUGAUAACAUUACACAUCAGAAAACACUUCAAGUUCAAUAUUUUAGAAGAAAAAACUAAAUUACCCUACUUAAUCUGCAUGCAACUUUUAGCACGAUUAAUGUGUUUCAGUAUGAAACUUAUAAUUGUUCGGGAUCUUUUUUUCUUUCUUUCUUCUAAUUUACUAAAUAGGUUAAGAAGACCUGCUACGCACCAGCCAGAUUAGGCGGAUCCGCUGCAAGAUGAGGGAGAUCAUGGUCGCGUGGGCGACAACAAGUGAUCUGAAUGACUUUGUCAAAAGGUUGAUGGCUGAAAGUAUAGGUAGAGAUAUUGAGAAGGAGAUGCUGAGCAUCUUUCCUUUACAAAAUGUGUUUAUCCAUAAAGUCAAGAUGUUGAAAGCACCCAAGUUUGAUCUUGACAAGCUGAUGUAUAUUCAUGGUUAUGAAGACCUUGGUGUCAAGGUUGAGAGCCCUGAUCAUCAAGAAGAAACUGCCCUGGAAUAAAACGUAGGACAGUGAUGUUUUGCUUUAAACUAAUCCCAACUGCGGGGAGGAGGAUUCGAACUCAAGUGCAUAAUAGAGCAUAACUAGUCUAGCGAAUGCAGCUAUGCCCAAGUUUAUAGAUAUCAUCGAAGGUUAAUUGUUGCCAGCAUUUUUUUUUAUUUUCUUCUACUUUAAAGUUGCUCGAAUUAUGUUUUGUGAAAUUUCUCUGAGGACAAAGAACCACUUAUUCAUUUCCCGCCAUUUAUGCGGUAUAUGAAUAUGAAUUUUUCAUGACAAUAUAUUAGAUAACACUACUCCAAAAGAGUAUUUUGACUUGAAAUUGCUUAUGGUAAAGCAAAUGCACAACCAGAACCUAGCAUUAAAAAGUAGAAACAAAUGAAAAUGAUACACGAGUUGCUUGGUACGUAGCUUGGCGUUAAAUAUGAUCCACUCUAAUUAAAAGACAGCAUGCUUGAUUAAUUCUUGAAGGAAGAGGAUGACAGAACACUAGUCCUUACUAGUUACUCCGCAACUUGGAUAAUACAUAAUUUUCGUCUGAUUAGUGGCAUAAUAAUCCGCUUAUAUAUCGUUAAUUACGUGUAAAAACGAUAUGUUGAUGCAUCAGCAAUGAUAUUACGAAAACCUCCAACUGUGGAAGCCAACAUGAUGAACACUCCGAUGAAUAUGCAAACCUGUAAACACACACAAUCCUCAUAAAUAAACUUUUUUGUAGCAUGAUGUAUCAAUUUGCGAUAUCGACAACAAGGAACAUUAGAUAUCUUUGGCUUACCCAGUUGACGAGCCAUUGAAUGCUGUAUCUCUUUGGUUUCUUAAUUCUCAGCCACAUUAUACAAGGAAGCUGUUGAAAAAAUGCUCACUUAGUUAAUUUCUUUCUGAUGAUGUAGUUCUGUAAUUUGUGCAAGAAACAAAUUAAGAAAUCAAAUAGAGUGAGAUAGGCUUACAAAGUAUGAAGUGGGGGCAAAACCAAAUCCACCAAAGAAACCAAGAAGGUCUCCAAAGAAAGGGAAGGUGACUCCAACAAAUAAUGUAAAUGCUGCAACAAUAUAGUGAUUAGGAACUUAAUUAGGGUUUAAUCAAGCAGAAAUGACAGAGAUACGGAGACGUAUGGGAAAUGGGAAUCUCACCAACAUAAGCUGAUCUCGUGAUUAGUCUAAGUGCAAUUCCAGGUGGGAAGUUCAUCUUUUUCACCAUCAUCCUCUCAAGCAUGUCAAAAACAGGCAUAGCAUAAACCUGCACACUUUUCAGUCACAUCCUUAAUUUAAUGUAGUUCUAAUAUUAAUGAGAAACACUCAAAGAAUCAAAGCAUAGAUAAAAGCCAUCUCCUAUCAACUGUUAAAGUCGGAGUCACUAAUGGUCGGAUCAGUUCCAAUUAUUUCUUUUCAAAAUAAUGUUUAAAGUGUGUGUUUUUACGAUAGAAAACACUUCUAAUCAUUAUCAUUUAUAUUAGAAGUGCUUUUGUUAUAAAUUUAAAAAAAAAAUUAGAUAAUUCCAAGUGUUUCCAAAACUUUUAUAAAAUAUAUUUGGAAGUGCUUUCUAGAAAAACACUCAAAAAUGCUUUUAAGUUUUUAUGUCAAACGUAAUCAAAAGCAUUUUUAGUUGUCUGCUUUUGUAACUGAGUGCAGAUUUAUACCUGGUAGCUGCCAAUGACAUGGACGACAACCAUUAGGUUAGCAGCAGCAAUGAGCCAUGUAGGUUUUUUAAGAUCUAUGAGCACGUUAUCAUCGACAUCUUGACCAAAGCCCAGUACCCGAUGAGGGCCACCGGGAAAUAGCAAAUUGCGUUGAUAAAGUAGGCUCCUAGAGCACCUUUCCACAUGGGAAUUCUCGACGGCUUCUCAGGCGUCGAUGGAAUUGUGGCUUGGAUUUCAAGCACCACUGCAUGCCCAGCAAAUGCAAACGAGAUUUGACCUAAUGCAUUGAAAACCCUAAACAUGUAAUCUGCAGGGCUUGUUUUCUUGUAUGCAUAGCUCACGUUUUCAACCUGACCUUUGCUUAAGCAACCUGCCCACGCUAUAGUUGAAUAACUGCAAAUUAACAACAAAUUCUAGUUAUUAAGAAAAAUUAUAUAUUAUUUGCCUUCUAAAGUUCUCUUGUUAGGUUUACGAGUAAAUCUUCCGUAGGGUUGUCCUACUAUUGGUAGAACUAGAGCAUGCAUCUCUAUCCAAAUUUUUCUCGAAUUUUAAAAGGAAAAUAUUCACAAAUAAAAUUAGAAGGCACUAAAACAAUAACAUAAAUAUUGUGCAACGUACUAGUGUAUUAUUUGUUUAGUAACUUUCUAGUUUUACUUUUAAUUUAAAAGUUCAUAAGUAGUUGUCACUUAUACGAAUAGUGGAAUAUAUGUGUUAAAAAAUUAAACUUUCUGCCACUUAUAUAAUAACAUGUGGUGUACCACUUGUGUUCCCGUCAUAAUGAAAAUUUUCUCCUUUAACUUGAGUUUGUGUAAAGUACGUAAAAAGGAAUUAAUUUCUGCACACUCCCUCUUCUUUUUUUUCUGUUUUUUUUUUAACAGGUUUUGUUUGGCCUAAAGCAAGUCUUCUAAAUCAGAUUUUCCUUCUCAUGGAAAGUGAAAAUUAAAAUUACUACCUUAGUGACAUGAUAGCUGCUGCUAGAGAAACACCAGCAACAGAGUUGAAAUUGGGGAGCUGGGAAAGAAAGAAAUGAAGGGAACCAAAGAUGACAAUCCAGUACGAUUGCUUGACUGGUGUGCAAUUGGCACAUGCCAUCUCCACAAAUUUCUUUAGACACUUUCCUCCGGUGACCAUGUACACUAUGUCACAACCAACCUGCACAAUCAUUUGUUGCGGAAGCACAAUCCAUGGCCCGAACUUUGGUCCGAAGGCGUGUCGGCCAAGGUCGAUGUAUCGGUCAAACCUAGUUCCCGGAACACAUUCAUGGAGCUGAAUCAUCUGCCACAUUGUGUUCAAGGUCAUGCACCAUGAUAUUACCAGCACCAUUGUCCCUGGACCCCUGAAAAUUAAAGGUAGAAAAAAGUAGGGCUUAUUAGUAUAUUAAUACAAGUACAACUCGUAUAUGUAUUAUUAUCAUGAGUUGGGGUGUUUUGUACCAUCCUAAGAAGGCCAUGGCAUACGGCAGGCUGAGUACACCGGCACCGAUCAUGGCGGUGACUGUGUGAAAGGUGGAGUACCACCAUUUUGCUCGGCGGGCGUUGUCCACCGGCUCCUCCUUCCAUUUGUCGUCUGAAACAACUUCCUGCCAUAGUUUCAAGGACAAGAACGAACAAACAGAAAAAUCAGAGUGGAAUUUGGAAAACGUCGUGUGAAUAAAGAGUGGUGAUGCUCACCUUUGGAGGAGGAGAAGUUGUAACCAUUUUUUUUCUCUUCUUUUGCGAUGAAGACAGAGAAACACUUUCAAUGUGGGAGUUGAUUGGUCGUCAUCAUGCUGUACGUAUAUAGUGGUUUCCUGGCCCGGAAUAUAGGCAGAAAUGUGGGAUAGUACAUUCCAAAACCCCACUCAUGCAUUUAUUUUUAGCUUUUUUUUUUUAACACAGGGACUUGUGCUUUUCCAGUUGAGUGAGAAAUUUUUAGUUGUGACGAAAACAUGAGUGGUACACCACGUGUUUUUAUGUAAGUGGUGGAAAAUUUUACUUUUUAAGUUAUUAACUUUUUAACACACAUAUCCCACUAUUUAUAUAAUGACACGUGGUGUAUCAUCCGUGUGACGGUCACAUUAAAAAAUCUCUCCAGUUGAGCAAUCGUGAAUCAUAUAGGAAAAAGCGGUAAAUAAUUUAGUAAAUUAAGAUGAUAUAACAAAGGGAAAGAGAUCCUUUCCGGAUCUCUUCCUUCACAGUCCAGGGAUCAAUUGAUCCAGAUCCUUGAAAUUUGAUCCACCGGUCAAAAAUUAUUAUAACUUUUAAAAGUUUUUACUAACUUUUUAUUUAUUUAUUUAUUUAUUUAUUUUUACUAACUUCUUUGUUUUUAGCCGUUAAAUCAAAUUUCAAGAGACCGGAUCACUUGAUCCUUAGGCUUUGAAGGGAGAGAUCCGGAGAUAUCUCUUUCCAUAACAAAACCCCUUGUAUGUACUUGGCAAACGAUGUUAAAGUUUUAAACCCUCCACUUAAAAUUAUCUAAAGUGACACGAGCUAAUAUUGCAAACAAGGUUUUACGAGACUUCACAUUUGUCAUACUAGCAAUUAUACACGUUUAUGGUGGCUAAAACUUUUUGGUGAGGAACCUCCAAAAUAUUUUUCGUCGCUGAAGAGGCUUUUUAUAUCUUUAGCGAUUGCUUAUGCAUAUCUAUUUCAUACUAGGAGUUUAUUUUAUUUAGGAGAAAAAUAAGGGAAAAAAAAUGGAGGCAACUGAUAUGAUCACCUGGCCAUGAAACUUUGAAAAAUAAAAAAUAGUAAAAUUAAUUUGUGUUUAAUUUUACUAUAUUGCCAGUGACUUUUAUGUUGGUUAUUUUUCUUUAUUUUGUUGGUAGGGCUAAUUUGAUCAUUUCAAUCUCUUUUGGUUGACAAAUAGAGUUUUGUUAAUAAAUAUUUUAGAUUAUGUGGUUGGAGAGAGGUAUGGAUUGGACUUUCUUAUUAAGUUAGUUUCUUACAUUGAUGAGACCAGUAUGAUAUACGAUCAUGAGACCUAAUACAAGAAAUUUUAUGUCAAAUGGCUCUAAAGAUAACAUGCAACACGUGAGUUUAUAUAUGAAAGAUAUGUUUCUUAAAACGGGCACAAACAAAUUUUUCUCCAAAAUUACUCAAGAUAACUAGGACUGUGGUUUGAUGAUAUACUCCACCCACUUUGAUGCUAUAUACAAAGGAAUCUAAGGACCCCAUUUUGAAAAGCAUUAUUCCAUUAAGCUCCCCAUUUUGACAAGCAUCAUUUCAUAAACCUCCCUUGUCAAUUUUUCUUUACACAAAAAGUUCUUAUGUGCAAUUAUUUAUUUCUAUCCCAAGUUUUGAACCAAUGAUUAAAGAGCUUAGUUGGUGGUGAAUGGAGCCACCUAAAUUGAAUGCGUUGGCAUUAUAAAGAGGGAAUAGUUUGAGGGGUUAAUGAUUAAAGAGCAAGUGAAGGAAUGCUCUUCGUGUAUGGGAGUCGCUGGUGGGGGCUCUUUUUCUUUCUUCUUUUCGAGUGUCCCCUGUGGCUUUGCUAUUUGCAUCCCCAAAAGCCAAUGACGAUUGACUGCUACCCACUUCUUACCACAAAAUAACAAGUAUUAUAUGAUUAUAUCUUGUUUAAUUAAUCUUACACUAAUUCAACAUCAUGCUUAUAUCAUACAACAUGAGUAAUGCUAUUCAUAUUAUGUUUUUAUACCACACUAGGUGGCAUCUGAUGUCAAUAGCCACAUCAUUUGAAAAAUUUGCAAAAUCCGAGGAAAUGAAGGAGAAAGACUUCUCUUAUACCACAAUCAUCAUUUAAUUAACUAGUUUUUCUUAAUUAUUAGUUUAUUAAAUAAUGAACUAAAUUUAAAAAUCUGAUCAAUUCAAAUAAUUUGGCUGUCCACAUCAAAUGCAAUCUAAGGUGGUAUGAAAAUGUGGUACAAAAACUUGGUAUGAAUAGCGUUACGACAAUUGUAGGUUUUAUGACGGUUUUUGUAGAAAUUUGUAAAACCGAUUAAAAACUGCAAGUUAGACACCCAUUAAACCCAUAACGUCCUCCAGAUAGCAAACGAACGAGGGGAGUUUAUAACAGAUGUUGCGAAGACUCGUUAUAGUAGUCAAGGACUAGAUGAAACUCCAAGCAGAUUGACUACCUCCAGACCUUAAAUCCUCAUCUUGAACAAAACCAGCACUUAAUUAAUAAGCAUAUUUAACAGUAAAGCAUCCAUUAGAAGAAGAACCCAAAUGCAGGAAUCACUUAUCGGGCAUAUCCCCUUUAACAUCAGUAGGGUUACUUGUUAGUCCGCCGUACGACAUCGGCACGAAGAACAUUCAAAAGCAUCACAAAUUUCUAUCGAACGCAAGUCAAGUAACUAGCCACAGUUUCAUAAUUUUCAUCUAAAAAGAUAGGCCUCUGAAACUGAUAAAUAAAAGUCCGAUCAUUAGGGGUUACAAUGGCUGAUAGUAAAGUUAUUUAUAUGCGAGUCCCCGAGUGUUUAUAACAAGUUGAAGCUCUUAUUUAACCCAUAAAGCCCCCUCCAGGCAUAUUAGGCCCUUGUGACGAAACCUGUCCCUGUGAAACUAAUUGCGACCGGCCUUGAACAUAAGCUUGAGUCAUCCCCGUCCCAACCAACUGUUGUUGUUGAUGCUGUUGAUGCUGUUGCUGCAAUUGCUGAAGCUGCGGCAGUUGCUGUUGUGAUUGAAGUUGUGAGAGCUGCUGCUGCGAGAGUUGCUGCUGUUGUUGAAUCUGAGGGUGCUGAUGUUGAAUCUGUGGAUGUUGUUGUUGAAUCUGAGGAUGCUGUUGUUGCUGACCGGGUACUUGCAUUUGUUGCUGCUGUUGCUGACCCGGUACUUGCAUUUGUUGCUGCUGUUGCUGACCGGGAACUUGCAUGUGUUGUUGCUGACCGCCUACUUGAAUUUGUUGCUGCUGUUGCUGACCAGGAACUUGCAUGUGUUGUUGCUGACCGCCUACUUGAAUUUGUUGCUGUUGUAGCUGUUGCAUUUGCUGCUGCUGCUGCUGCUGCUGCUGUUGCUGACCACCUACUUGUGGUUUAAACACAACCAUAUCCUGAACCGAUGGUAGAUUUAGCUUUAACAAAAACCAGGUUGUAAGAAGGUUACAAUGCCGAGCCACAAACUCAAUUUGGAGUACCACCACAGGCCUCCAUUUCAGAAAGAAGUUAAAACAGAAGUUGCAGGAUAUGCAGGGAACCUUCAGAACUAAAAGCACCUUAUACAGGCUAGAAAGGUCUUUAACGAUCCCCACAAAAUUUUCGCAAAAUAAAAGGUCCAUUUUCCAGGUUUCUUUUAGUAAUGAAGGUACCUCACAUAUUUGUUGUGGAUUUAGCUCAGAGUUGGUGGCUAUUACUUUAUAUUGGCAAAAAACUAAUAAUAAGGAAUUACAAUCCGCGGUAAUAAGAAUGGUCUAACUAAUAACAAGCUCACCCCUGGAAACAGCAUUCCAAUCAAGCGAUAUGCUUUGUCUGAAACAGAGAGCAGUAGUGUCUGAGAGGGCAAUUGGAUCACUGCACACUGAAAAAGUGGGAAAUCAGCUUUUUGAGAAGAAAAAAAAACAUAUCAGAAUAGUCCUCGGUUUCAUGUUCACAUUCAAAGGAAAACUAUUGCAGGUGGUCAAAUAAAAUAGAAGAACUAGCUUUUGAUGCUGAAGUCUCACAUGGAUGAUACCAGAAUCAAGAAUUACCCCACUUCAAGCCAAGAGAGCCAAUUAAAUGCAUAAAUUUAGUUUAUCACAGCAUUUAGAGGUUCUUGAGUUUAAACAGAUAAUUAACCAAGUUCAUAUGAGAAUGUCACACAGAAUCUAAGGAAGUACUCUGCCAUAUCAGAAUUUACAGAUAAUCAAGUGGUAAUCCAAGAUGCUUAGAUUAAUAUAUAUAACAGAAGACGAUGAUUAGGCAAGUGGGUAAGGACUUUUAAGGGAUAAAGUGGAAGCGGCAAGAAAUUGGAUAGCAAAUUAGCAAUGAGGACAAUUUUUGAGUCUCAAAGGAAAAAGUGGUAAGGUAAAAUAAAGAGAGUAGACAGCUUACAAGUUUCUUCUCUUGCAAUUGCCCAAGAAACCCAUGCUGAUUCAUUGCCCGAAAAACUAAAAAGUCUGCCUUUCCAACAUAUUGCCUGAAUUAUAAAUAUUGAUGAAGUCAAGAAAACUGAGGAAUAUAACAUCAGGAGGAAAAUAUUACACAGAAAAAUAAAGGAGGGAAUGUUUUCACUAAAUUGUAAUUACUUGUUAUUCAUGUGGUCCUGAGAUAUGAGCCUCACUAUUUGCAUUGUUGGUGGCCAGUUCGCCGCAAGCCUGAGGAGUGAAAUAAUGCACAUCAAUAAAUAAACGCCAAUGACACAUUUUACCAUAGUCUGAGAUUAAGAUUUUAUUGUACACUAAAGCACCAACCAAUUAAGGCCAACUAAAGAGUUCUGAUCAAAAUACAUUCAACCUCACGCCACUAUUCUUACAGCAUGUCAAGAUAUUAGGAUUCUAAGAAUGAAGGUAACUAAAUUUUUAUUUUAACCAAAGAAAAAGCCGUCUGCUUUGAUAAGUUAGAAAUAUUAAUAGUCAUAGACCUCUUUUUCUACAUAAAAGAAUUAAAGUUAAAAUAGAAACUUUAAACCAUUGAUUACAUUCCAUUAACAUCUAUUUGAAACAAAAAGAAGAAAGAGUACUCCCGACUUACGUCUCAGAAGCUGAAGCACUCCUGUAACCCUGACAAAAUUAGAAAGCAUUUGUGGAGUCAACAAAUAAUUAACUGCUAAAAUUGUAAAAGAUAACUAAGAGAAAUAUAAAUAAUCCCAUGUCGUUAGGCCCUAAACAUGCCUCAUGCUGUGGUUUAAUUCAGGAUGCUCACACCCUUAUGGUUAUCAAAUUGUCUAUAAAAAUAGAUGCUAUUGAUAGCACACUUGAAAUAACUAUUUAUGGAUUGUUCAGUGUUUUCGGCAAUUUUUGUUCUCUCUCCUCCUCCAACAAAUAUAUUAAAACUCAAACCAAAUGCAUAAUACUUUUGAAUUCAAAUCACUCUGAAGCACAAUCACAAGGAAACAUAGAGAACUUUUUUCAGAAAAAUUUAAGUUCGACAUAAAUAACUAUGGUUAUCCAUGACAGCACAUUGGGUUGAUUCAAUGGCAAUUUGGAAUUUCCCUCUCCGGUGAUAGUUUAUCAGUGGUGUUUUGGGUGAAGAGUAGUUUGUGGAUAUCAAAGAAAUGAUGGUCAGAUGGUUUACCAAUUUAUAUGGAAACAUACUGAAAAUCCUCAUGUGCCAAAGUCACACACAUGCUCCAUUUUUCUCUCAAAAAUAAUGAUUUUGUGCAAUGCAAGAAACCAGACGUAAGAGUAUCACAAAAUAAACCACAGUUUCCAUGUCAUCCAACAAGGCAACGGAGAACGAACCUCCAAUCUAGUGAUAAACACAGGCUGCCCUUGUCUCUGCCCAGAUAAAGCUCCCUGCAUGUAUUUUGAUCAUUCAAGUAUGAGUGAUUGCGGAAUACCACAGUAAAACAGGACCAACCAUCUUUAAAACUUUCGUGAUAUUCUAGCUUAAAAAAGUUACCACCAGAAGUUUGAAAAUCCAACCGUAUUUUUUUAAAAGACCUACCUCCCAGACUUUCACAUAUUUGGAUUGUGCAGAUGCCAGAGCACUUGAUGUCUGUUGUGAAAAUGGCACAUUAGAUGCUGAAUUAUUGUUUGCACCAAGUGACUGCAUCCCAGAUUGCACCUGUUGAGCCAUUCCUGGAGUAGGAAUCAUUGUACCAGUUCCAGAAGAGGCACCUGUUGAACCAAGGGCACUCAUCAUGUUUGGGUUCAUGCCAAUUCCACUUUGAACCAUUUGCGGUCCCGAGAGAUUUCCUUGGCUCAUACCAGGCACAGCUUGACCCAUACUAACACCACCUUGAAGGUUGCUCAUUGGUUGUGACAUCCCAAGGUUAUUGUUGCUCAUUGGUUGUGACAUCCCAAGGUUAUUGUUGCCAGAGACAUUAGAGGUACCUGAAGUGAAUGAAUUAAGACCUGGGUUCUGCGCAACCUGUGUAAGAGUGCCGGACCCGGAAGAUGAAAAUACAUUUUGAGCAGCACCAACUGAAGAUGCCAUUCCACUAGAUAUCAUGUUUGAUACAUGCAUGGCCAUAGGAUUUUGACCCAUAGUUGGGAGUCCCAUAGAAGUUCCUCCAGUUAAGGCUGCUGCGUUCAUCACGCGUGCUUGAGAGAUGUUAUUGAGGAUGCUACCUACAGGACGCGAGGGAUGUGUC